UUAGUUUUAUUUAUUGCAGCAGUUAGUCUGUCUGUCUUUUUAGUUUUAUUUACCACAGUAGUUAGUUUGUUCGUUUUGUUAGUCUUAUUUACUCCAAUUAGUUUACCUUUCUAAGUUUUGUUUGUUUGUUAAUUGGCUAUAGUUAUAGCUUAGUAGUUUACUCAAUAGUUUAUUUAUUAUAUUUAUAUUUAUAUUUAUUUACUUUAUUAGUUUAUUUAUAGUCUUAAUCUUUUGUGGCCUUCAGCUUAGCCUAUUUACUUUAUGCUGGAUAACUUUAGUUUUAAUUAUUUUAAUCAUUCAAAGUUUAAUUAUAGUUUUAGAUUUAAUUAUUAGAAGUUUAGUUUAUCUUAGUAAAUUAAAGUUUUAUGCUUUCUAGUUUAAAUUAGUUUAUAUUUAUAAUUUAUGCUUUAGUUCAUCUUAGUCUUCCAUUAGCUUGUGCCUUAGUUUAGGAUUGUAUUUUAUGUACUAAGUUUAUUUUUAGACUUUCGUUAGCCUGUUCGUCAUAUGUUUGAGUCUUGUUAGUCUUUUACAUUUGAGUCUUGUUAAUCCUUUACCUUGUUUCCUACUAUCUGUUUAGGUAUUAUCUGUAGGCUUGACCUCCUUUACUCCUCAAUCAUAAAUCAUUUUAUUUUUAUACUUUUAAGUUUCAGACUGUUAGUUAUACAGUGCAUGCGGGUAGUAUCGUAUAUCUUAUAUUUCGUCUAUCCAUCUACUGCUUCUAUGUGUACGUAUGUAGUCUAUCUAUUUGUUGCUUCUACGUGUACGCAUGUAGCCUAUCCAUUUGCUGCUUCUACGUGUACACACGUAGCUUUUACUGCUGUGUCACACUACUGUGACAAUUUACUGUUGGGCACUGUGAUACUUCUGCCUCGUGGUUAUUG
RNAcentral lists this long non-coding RNA (881 nucleotides) under Elaeis guineensis (African oil palm). RNAcentral describes it as "long non-coding RNA (EGUI_LNC069023)". Lineage: Eukaryota; Viridiplantae; Streptophyta; Magnoliopsida; Arecales; Arecaceae. The record is from RNAcentral.